AGUGAACGCUGGCGGUAGGCCUAACACAUGCAAGUCGAACGGCAGCACAGUAAGAGCUUGCUCUUACGGGUGGCGAGUGGCGGACGGGUGAGGAAUACAUCGGAAUCUACUUUUUCGUGGGGGAUAACGUAGGGAAACUUACGCUAAUACCGCAUACGACCUACGGGUGAAAGCAGGGGAUCUUCGGACCUUGCGCGAAUGAAUGAGCCGAUGUCGGAUUAGCUAGUUGGCGGGGUAAAGGCCCACCAAGGCGACGAUCCGUAGCUGGUCUGAGAGGAUGAUCAGCAAAACUGGAACUGAGCAACGGUCCAGACUCCUACGGGAGGCAGCAGUGGGGAAUAUUGGACAAUGGGCGCAAGCCUGAUCCAGCCAUACCGCGUGGGUGAAGAAGGCCUUCGGGUUGUAAAGCCCUUUUGUUGGGAAAGAAAAGCAGCAGGUUAAUACCCCGCUGUUCUGACGGUACCCAGAGAAUAAGCACCGGCUAACUUCGUG
Molecule: ribosomal RNA, 492 nt
Filed under: uncultured bacterium
Lineage: Bacteria
Description: partial 16S ribosomal RNA
Rfam family: Bacterial small subunit ribosomal RNA
Source: RNAcentral